UACGUAGGGGGCAAGCGUUGUCCGGAUUUAUUGGGCGUAAAGAGCGUGUAGGCGGCCAGACAGGUCCGUUGUGAAAACUCGAGGCUCAACCUCGAGACGUCGGUUGAAACCAUCUGGCUAGAGUCCGGAAGAGGAGAGUGGAAUUCCCGGUGUAGCGGUGAAAUGCGCAGAUAUCGGGAAGAACACCCGUGGCGAAGGCGGCUCUCUGGGACGGUACUGACGCUGAGACGCGAAAGCGUGGGGAGCGAACAGG
Molecule: ribosomal RNA, 253 nt
Filed under: uncultured bacterium
Lineage: Bacteria
Description: partial 16S ribosomal RNA
Rfam family: Bacterial small subunit ribosomal RNA
Source: RNAcentral